UCUCUCCUCUCCUCGCCUUUCUCAUCGCAAAACUCUCACAACUCUCCGAUCUCUCCCAACUGACACGCCGCCCGACCCUAGCUGCACCACACUGCCAACCCGCCACCAGUUAAACAUCGCUGGAACCUAAUCUAUGAACUUUUGCCUUCAAACUCGUCGAUAAUUAACUUUUCACAUCGAUGGUCCCUUUCUCAGAUCUAAAUCAAUUUCUCUUUGUAAAUAUAUAUUCUUGGUCUGGUUUUGAUAUUCGACAAGUGAAUAUGUGGAUUCAAACAUGAUUCUGGGACUGUACAGUUAAAUGGGUUUUUGGAAUUAAGUUUUUAGUGAUCAAAAUCUGAAAAUUGUUGAGUUUUGAGCUUUCGCGGUUGAUAUGUGACGUGGGAUUUUGCUUCUGUUGAGUUCUUAAUGCAUAUUGAACACAUAGUUCUAAUUUGAGUAACAGAAAUUGUUGUAUUAUGGUUUUUGGUAGAAGUUACAGCAAUGAAAGUUUAAUUGAGGAGUCAGGUAUUGUAAGUUCUUUUGGGAUUUGGUUUGCCUUUUGAUUCAGUCCGUUACUCCCUUUCUUGUUCUAGGUUGGAUUAAUGGAGAGCUUUUGCUUAUGAGAAUUGUGUUUGUAAGGUUCACGAGAAUUGUUUAUGUGAUG
RNAcentral lists this long non-coding RNA (643 nucleotides) under Citrus sinensis (sweet orange). Its description in RNAcentral is "long non-coding RNA (CSIN_LNC005501)". Lineage: Eukaryota; Viridiplantae; Streptophyta; Magnoliopsida; Sapindales; Rutaceae. The record is from RNAcentral.